CUGCGGCGCUGCAGCUGCGGG
This 21-nucleotide unclassified non-coding RNA is filed under the name Mus musculus (house mouse). RNAcentral's name for it is "oocyte_clustered_small_RNA13572". Lineage: Eukaryota; Metazoa; Chordata; Mammalia; Rodentia; Muridae. The record is from RNAcentral.